This is a long non-coding RNA of Vanessa tameamea, 841 nucleotides long. RefSeq lists it as uncharacterized. The transcript has 2 exons. The record is from RefSeq and is a predicted model, not a curated record. NCBI's taxonomy places the organism in Eukaryota, Metazoa, Arthropoda, Insecta, Lepidoptera, Nymphalidae.
UUUCCAUAUAUAGAAUUGCUAUACCUAAAAAUAAACCUAAGAAGGAAAUUGACCAUCAGAUAAUAAAAAAAACUGAUAAAGAAUCAGUAUAAAUACCGCCGUCGAUUUAGAUUCUUCAUAAACAGAUUGGUGAUUUGCUAAUAACUGUACAUCGCUUGUUUGACUUUCUGUCAUAAAUCUUUGUUAUUACACUACUUUAACCCAGUAAUAUAUUAUACAAAAUGCAGCGCCCAGUGAACAACCCAAUGAUGACAUGUGGCGUCCCACACAGAAGAUAUUCAGCGCCAUUAGAGAAUACAUAUGGACCUCGUCGUGCCUACAACAUGGGACCAUGUUUUGGCCCACCGGCAGCGCCUCCGCAGUUCCAGCCUAGUGCUUGCUUCAUGUCUGUCUCAACUCUCAGGACUGCAUACCCAAAUCAAAUGACUCCGCAAACCCGCCAAGACCCAUGCUUCAAGUAAAAAGUUACAAAAUAUGAUGAUAGCGCAUUGGAAUCUCAUAUAAUGUUAACGAUUUAAUUAUAAUAACCAUUUUCCUUUCGAAUUUUGGCGAUUGACAAUGGAUAAGAAUUAUAAUCGAAUCUUCUAAAUUUUAAGUUUAAAAUUUAUGAUAUGAUUCGACUAAUCCUUAAUUGGUGAUUUGUUUUAAUAUAAGUGUUUUGAUUUUAGAAAUUAAAUUAUAACUAGAUAAUGUUGCAAUAAAUGCAUAUUGUAUUUGUAAUAUUUAAUCAUCAUAUUUUUUCUUCAAAAACAUUCGAAUAUUAUUCAAGUCACGUUUUUCUUAUUAAAUAAUUAUAGGAAUAUUUUUGUAAAUAACAAUAAUAAAAUUAGUCUUAAAAUAU